UAUAAAUACUAUAUUAUAGAUUACUAUAAUUAUUAUUAUUAUAGAUUAGCAUGGCCCCUGCGCAAGGAUGACACGCAAAAUCGUAAAGUGUUCCACAUUUUU
This is a small nuclear RNA of Cotesia glomerata, 102 nucleotides long. Lineage: Eukaryota; Metazoa; Arthropoda; Insecta; Hymenoptera; Braconidae. The record is from RefSeq and is a predicted model, not a curated record.